Molecule: ribosomal RNA, 703 nt
Filed under: Theocerus sp. JP-2014
Lineage: Eukaryota; Metazoa; Arthropoda; Insecta; Coleoptera; Staphylinidae
Description: bacterial SSU rRNA
Rfam family: Eukaryotic small subunit ribosomal RNA
Source: RNAcentral
UUAAAGGAAUUGACGGAAGGGCACCACCAGGAGUGGAGCCUGCGGCUUAAUUUGACUCAACACGGGUAACCUCAUCAGGUCCGGACAUGAUUGCGAUGGACAGAUCGAUAGCUCUUUCUAGAUCUCAUGGAUGGUGGUGCAUGAUCGUUCUUAGUUCGUGGAUCGAUUUGUCUGGUUAAUUCCGAUAACGAGCGAGACUCUACCUUACUAACUAAGACGUACGAUAUACACGAGGUCUGUUGGCGUAUGCGUUGUUGCCCUAGGGGUGCAGUUCUCUGUGCUCUUGGUGGUUUUCGACGUUAUACGGCACGGUCCAUACUAUCGGCGCAAAUGUUUUCUUCUUAGAAGAACAAGCUAUAUAUAGUAGCACGAGAGAGAGCAAUAACAGGUCUGUGAUGCCCUUAGAUGUCCUGGGCCGCACGCGUGCGACAAUGAAAGAGUCAAUAGGUGUCCUAGGCCGAAAUGUCUGGGUAAUCCUUGCAAUCUCUUUCGUGUUGGGGAUUGGGGCUUGAAAGUGCUUCCCAUGAACGAGGAAUUCCCAGUAAGCGUAGAUGAUCAUUCUACGCUGAUUGAGUCCCUGCCCUUUGUGCACACCGCCCGUCGCUACUACCGAUGAGCGGGCUAGCGAGAUCUUCGGACCGGCGCCUCGAAAGAGGUCGUUACCGGAAAGUCGAUCAAACUUGCCCGUUUAGAGGAAGUAAAA